GUCAUCGCAACCUUUUUUUUGUGUGUGCGAUCUUUUCAUGGUCACAUGCUGUAAAGGUAGCGUAUAUCGAAUCAAGACGAAAUGGGCAUCCUUUUCGGACCAAAUAUAUGAUGAUUGGAAAUCAUUUUGUCUACAAAAUGUUUGAUGUUUUUAAUUAUAUUAUGUUUACUUCUUUGAGCUAGUUACGAAUUUUGAGAACUCAGUUAAGAGUUUUCAGAGUAAUAAAUUUUUGUUUGGUAAUAGUUUGCAAAUGAGAAUGAUUAUAAAUUGUAUUUGAAAAAGCUU
Schizosaccharomyces pombe (fission yeast) is the source of this 285-nucleotide non-coding RNA. The record is from the annotation of a GenBank genome assembly. Lineage: Eukaryota; Fungi; Ascomycota; Schizosaccharomycetes; Schizosaccharomycetales; Schizosaccharomycetaceae.